GGUAAGACGAGGGAUCCUAGCGUUGUUCGGAAUUAUUGGCCGUAAAGCGGGUGUAGGCGGACUUAUAAGUCAGGUGUGAAAUCCCAGGGCUCAACCCUGGAAGUGCACUUGAUACUGUAAGCCUUGAGUGUGGUAGAGGCUAUUAGAAUUCCUGGUGUAGUGGUGAAAUACGUAGAUAUCAGGAGGAAUACCGGAGGCGAAGGCGGAUAGCUGGGCCAACACUGACGCUGAGACCCGAAAGCGU
RNAcentral lists this ribosomal RNA (244 nucleotides) under uncultured Pseudobdellovibrionaceae bacterium. RNAcentral's name for it is "uncultured Bdellovibrionaceae bacterium partial 16S ribosomal RNA". It matches the Rfam family "Bacterial small subunit ribosomal RNA", at positions 519 to 762 of the family's 1533-position model. The record is from RNAcentral. Lineage: Bacteria; Pseudomonadati; Bdellovibrionota; Bdellovibrionia; Bdellovibrionales; Pseudobdellovibrionaceae.